Long non-coding RNA from Hemicordylus capensis (graceful crag lizard), 768 nucleotides. RefSeq lists it as uncharacterized. Lineage: Eukaryota; Metazoa; Chordata; Lepidosauria; Squamata; Cordylidae. The record is from RefSeq and is a predicted model, not a curated record. The transcript is spliced from 7 exons.
CUGUAACCAGGCAUGGCGACGAAGGGGGAUAGCCGUUGUGAUGGACCGUGAUUCUGAUUCUGCCAAGUGUUUCGCUGUGCUCAACUGCUGACAGGGGUAGUGCGACGUCGUCCAUAUUUGGAGGAAGUUGCGCAGUUGAUCACUAAGGAGUUCGGGACUGGAUGCUUAAAUAGAAACCAAGACAAAGGCAAAUCCCAAAGGAAGUUUCACAAUGGCGGUCAAGAAGGAACUGAGCUACGUAUCAUUCUGCCACUGAAGAUACUCAGCGUGCUCCACACACAGUCUAUUAGCACUUUGUGGAGCAUGGAUUUCUUCCGCAGGGACUACUGCACAGGUAAACAGCAACCAUGAGAAGAAUGUUCCUACAAAAUACAACCGCUUUACAGUUAAGGAUAUAAUUGUCUGAAGGAAAUGCGAAUUAAGUGAAGAGAAGAAAGAGAGAAAAAACAACACCCCAAAAGGACUGUAACUAGAGAAAGCAAAGACAACACCAAGCAAGCACAUUUGUUUAUUCAUUUAAAGAAGAAGAUGGCGACAAGAAAUCCCUUCUGCUUGCUAGAAAAUGCCCUACAGAACAUAACGUGCUUGUCCAUUUCCAGCAGAGCCCAAAACUCAAUUUAGCAGAGGUUGAAAUCUAAAGGAAGUAAAGUCAGUCAGUCUAGAAUUUGCAGUACCAUCAAGAUAAAAGAAGCAGAUCCAACUGCUGCCAGUGUAGCUACUUCUCCUUACAAUUUCCUCUAUUUAAACUGUACCGCAUUGUGCACAUCA